Molecule: ribosomal RNA, 254 nt
Filed under: uncultured bacterium
Lineage: Bacteria
Description: partial small subunit ribosomal RNA
Rfam family: Bacterial small subunit ribosomal RNA
Source: RNAcentral
AGGACGAACGCUGGCGGCGUGCUUAACACAUGCAAGUCGAGCGGAAAGGCCCUUCGGGGUACUCGAGCGGCGAACGGGUGAGUAACACGUGAGUAACCUGCCCCUAGCUCUGGGAUAGCUCCGGGAAACCGGGAUUAAAUACCAGAUACGACCACUUUAGACAUCUGUCGUGGUGGAAAGGAUUCCGGCUAGGGAUGGGCUCGCGGCCUAUCAGCUUGUUGGCGGGGUAACGCCUACCAAGGCGACGACGGGUA